This 62-nucleotide transfer RNA is filed under the name Elateroides dermestoides (large timberworm). RNAcentral's name for it is "Hylecoetus dermestoides (large timberworm) tRNA-Asp". Lineage: Eukaryota; Metazoa; Arthropoda; Insecta; Coleoptera; Lymexylidae. The record is from RNAcentral.
GAAGGCUUAGUUAAAAUAUAACAUUAAUUUGUCAAAUUAAAAUUAAUUACAGUUAGCUUUCU